GUCGACGUGGCGCAGUGGUUACCGCGGCGGCCUGCUAGAGCCUUAACAUCUCAGUUCACUGAGGUUUGAUCUCUCAAAUAGGAGAGCCGUUUCCUUCGGGUUCCUCGGUUCGAAUCCGGGCGUCGACG
This is a transfer RNA of Penicillium decumbens, 128 nucleotides long. It matches the Rfam family "tRNA". Rfam says of the family: Transfer RNA (tRNA) molecules are approximately 80 nucleotides in length. The record is from Rfam. Lineage: Eukaryota; Fungi; Ascomycota; Eurotiomycetes; Eurotiales; Aspergillaceae.